CCUACGGGAGGCAGCAGUGAGGAAUAUUGGUCAAUGGGCGGGAGCCUGAACCAGCCAAGUCGCGUGAGGGAAGAAUGUACUAAGUAUUGUAAACCUCUUUUGCCAAGGGACAAAGUCGGCCACGUGUGCCCGUACGAGGGUACCUGUAGAAAAAGCAUCGGCUAACUCCGUGCCAGCAGCCGCGGUAAUACGGAGGAUCCGAGCGUUAUCCGGAUUUAUUGGGUUUAAAGGUAGCGUAGAUGGGUUGUUAAGUCAGUUGUGAAAGUUUGCGGCUCAACCGUAAAAUUGCAAUUGAUACUGGCAGUCUUGAGUACAGUUGAGGUAGGCGGAAUUCGUGGUGUAGCGGUGAAAUGCUUAGAUAUCACGAAGAACUCCGAUUGCGAAGGCAGCUUACUAAACUGUGACUGACAUUGAUGCUCGAAAGUGUGGGUAUCAAACAGGAUUAGAUACCCGAGUAGUC
RNAcentral lists this ribosomal RNA (460 nucleotides) under uncultured bacterium. RNAcentral describes it as "partial 16S ribosomal RNA". It matches the Rfam family "Bacterial small subunit ribosomal RNA", at positions 338 to 795 of the family's 1533-position model. The record is from RNAcentral.